Non-coding RNA from Pelobates cultripes (western spadefoot toad), 473 nucleotides. The record is from the annotation of a GenBank genome assembly. Lineage: Eukaryota; Metazoa; Chordata; Amphibia; Anura; Pelobatidae.
CAGGUCUGUUUAAUGAGCACACAAAAGCAACAGCACUCAUGCAGCAAAACAACUCCUCCUCAGAGGAAAACAAAAUGACAAUUAAAGACAGACAGAGUUUGAAAAUAUGACAGGCAUUAAGGGUUUAACUGGUGUUCUAAGAGUGGAGGGGGGGUGGGGGAUAAAACAUUCUAACUAAGUCCAUAAAACAGGGGUUUUCUUCACACUCUGCAUCCGAAGUGCAUAGCAAAACCUUUGUCAGAGCAUUUAAAGGGCCAGAACCAGUCUAAUAAAAUCCACUAUGCCCAAAUAACGUAUUUAAAGGGCAAAAUCUUCCAGGGGCCAUAGUCGCAGGGCAGGAGGCUGGUAAUUAGUCCUCUCCAGGCACAAGUGGCGAAGGGCAUUUUGUCACAAACACACAGGGCUCGACAAAUCUAAGGCGUCAGGUUGCCAUGGCGACUAGAUAUUUCGCCCUGGCACCUUGGAUUUGUCAG